UGCCAUUGCCGCCAUGUGGGAUCUGGCUUCAAAAAGACGUCGGAAGAACCAGUGUGUAGAGUUGCGGGAGAAACAUCCAAAGGGAGCCAGAAGCUGCCCUCCAAGAUGAGCAGUUGUGAUUGAAAUGUCAACCCGUGACUGGAAAGAUAUUUCUCACCUACCCAGUCUUCAAAGAUA
Protobothrops mucrosquamatus (brown spotted pit viper) is the source of this 177-nucleotide long non-coding RNA. RefSeq lists it as uncharacterized. The record is from RefSeq and is a predicted model, not a curated record. The transcript has 3 exons. NCBI's taxonomy places the organism in Eukaryota, Metazoa, Chordata, Lepidosauria, Squamata, Viperidae.